AAUAGAUACCCGGGUAGUCCACGCCGUAAACGAUGAAUACUAGGUGUGGGGGUUGUCAUGACCUCCGUGCCGCCGCUAACGCAUUAAGUAUUCCGCCUGGGGAGUACGGUCGCAAGAUUAAAACUCAAAGGAAUUGACGGGGGCCCGCACAAGCAGCGGAGCAUGUGGUUUAAUUCGAAGCAACGCGAAGAACCUUACCUAGACUUGACAUCUCCUGAAUUACUCUGUAAUGGGGGAAGCCCUUCGGGGCAGGAAGACAGGUGGUGCAUGGUUGUCGUCAGCCCGUGUCGUGAGAUGUUGGGUUAAGUCCCGCAACGAGCGCAACCCUUAUUGUUAGUUGCUACCAUUUAGUUGAGCACUCUAGCGAGACUGCCCGGGUUAACCGGGAGGAAGGUGGGGAUGACGUCAAAUCAUCAUGCCCCUUAUGUCUAGGGCUACACACGUGCUACAAUGGCUGGUACAGAGAGAUGCAAUACCGUGAGGUGGAGCCAAACUUUAAAACCAGUCUCAGUUCGGAUUGUAGGCUGAAACUCGCCUACA
Molecule: ribosomal RNA, 540 nt
Filed under: uncultured bacterium
Lineage: Bacteria
Description: bacterial SSU rRNA
Rfam family: Bacterial small subunit ribosomal RNA
Source: RNAcentral